UACGUAGGGUGCGAGCGUUAAUCGGAAUUACUGGGCGUAAAGCGUGCGCAGGCGGUGAGCUGUGUCCGAUGUGAAAGCCCCGGGCUUAACCUGGGAAUGGCAUUGGAAACUGGCUCGCUGGAGUGUGGCAGAGGGGGGUGGAAUUCCGCGUGUAGCAGUGAAAUGCGUAGAGAUGCGGCGGAACACCGAUGGCGAAGGCAGCCCCCUGGGCUGAGAUUGACGCUCAGGCACGAAAGCGUGGGGAGCAAACAGG
Molecule: ribosomal RNA, 253 nt
Filed under: uncultured bacterium
Lineage: Bacteria
Description: partial 16S ribosomal RNA
Rfam family: Bacterial small subunit ribosomal RNA
Source: RNAcentral